CCUCUGAGAUAUGCUAGUCUUGCAUGUUUAUACAUGAGCAAAGGAAGCAAAGUUUCUUUCCCUCCAACAUUUCUCUUUCUCAUGUUCUCUCUCUGCAUUUGUCACUAAUCGAGCUGUGCAUACGUUCUACGGUUCACAGUGAAAGAAAAGUGUUUGAAAUAUGGUUAUUUUAAUAAAUUCGCUGCGAGGCUUGUUUUAUUAUGGAUGCGUGAGCUUCACGACUUGUGGACUAAACCUGCUGACUUAAAUUUUUAUUGUAACACUGACUGGAUUCAACUGAAAGAACAAUGUCAUAUACACCUAGGAUACCUCGAGGAAAUGGGCUCUGAAAACUGACCCAGCUGAGCGUGCAUCAACAGGAAGUGCUUUGACAUCAUCAAAGGCUGAAAGCGGCAGGUCUGGAACUGUUUCUGAGGGCUCAGAAGCCUCACCGUGACGAGCCUACCUGAGCUAAUUCCCCGAUUGCCUCACCGUGGACUCCCUCACCACUCCGAGCACUGGAAAGCACUGAAGACAACGCUCCGCUGCACUCACCGGACUCACCGCUACACUUCCCCGAC
Molecule: long non-coding RNA, 560 nt
Organism: Puntigrus tetrazona (Sumatra barb)
Lineage: Eukaryota; Metazoa; Chordata; Actinopteri; Cypriniformes; Cyprinidae
Exons: 3
Source: RefSeq, a predicted model, not a curated record